Molecule: long non-coding RNA, 4210 nt
Filed under: Daucus carota (carrot)
Lineage: Eukaryota; Viridiplantae; Streptophyta; Magnoliopsida; Apiales; Apiaceae
Description: long non-coding RNA (DCAR_LNC004355)
Source: RNAcentral
CCGACUUUUCGGAAUAUUAAAAACUAAUUUCACGACAUAAAUAAUAUCAUUACUUAAAUCAAAAUCCACAAAUAAUAUAUAAGUCAAAGCAGCGGUCAAACCCAAUAAUCAGAAGUCAUGAACUUAGAGACGCAGCUCCAUAAAUCCAAAACCAAUAUCUAAUAAACUCAUCAAAUUAUUCUAAAUAAACAAUAAGUCUUUAUUCACUAAUGCAAAUAAUCACGAAGCAUAGAAUCAAAAAGUCCUCAUUCUUAUUCCCAAAAUUCUUCCACGUGAUAGAACCUGAAAUAUUAGAAAAACGGAUGAGCUACACAGCUCAGCAAGUAACAAUUUGACUCACAGUUAAUUUCGAAAUCAGUGGGCGUUUUUAUGAAACAUUGUUGCUCAAAACAAUUAUAACUUUAAAACACUUGUAAAAACAAAUCCAACCCACAGUUUAUAUUUUAAAAGCAAACAUAACAAAAAACAGAAACAAAAAUCUUAUAAAUACCACAGUCUUGCUCUACGGCCACACUUUCCCAGUGACCAAGAUCUUAUUCUUAUUAUUUUGCCACACUUACCCAGUGACCGGGAUCUAAAGUUCAAUAAUCACGCGCCCUUAAUAGGUAUCUGAAGUUGCACACUUGUGCGCCUACUAAGGGUAUCUAAGGCUAGUUCCGGAACUAUAGCGUAGACUACGAACGGGUUCGAAACGUAGAGACUGGGUCUUCAAAGAUUCUCAUGUCUUAUAUCUUAUAAACUUCGAAACAAAAUUCUUAUAUCUUAUAACAAAAAUCUGAAAUUUGCGAAAUCAAAAUAUCCUUUCGAAAAUAAAAGUAAGUCAAAAAGUACUUAUCUCAAAGUCGACACUUAAAAUCCGAAAUUAAUAACACGAACAAAGCCUAUACAUUUAAUUAAUAAACAAAACAUAAUUAACAUGUAGCUUAAACAAUCAAGAGCAAGGCACAUAACAAGUCUUAACAAAUUUCAAACUUUAACAACUAAUAACAAUUAACACAAUUUAAUUACCGAAUAAGACAAAUAACAAUGCAUGCUGUUACAAAUCUCAAUAUUAACCAAAGAUAGCUUCUGAAUAUGAGAAAAUAGUCAACUGGAGAAUCAAAGUACAUUCAACAAGGAUUCCAAAAUGACAAGAUUCAUGGUAAACGGACAGAUAACGAAUUAGUUAUGAAUUUUAGAAGUUCAAGUAACACAACAGAAUUUUACUCAGGACCAGUUUACAUUCAAAGCAGAUUUUCACGAAGCAAACAAACUGAUAUCAAUUAGACUAUAACUAAACACUUAAAGAUCAUUCUCAGAGGUUUCAUAAUUGAUAAAGAUCACAAUUUUACGGCAAAUAACGAGGGAGAUAUGAAUUUUUAAACACGGAACAACUCAGCAGAAAAGUAUAAACAGCCCUGAAUCUUUGUAAAUCAGUUUAGACAAUUAAAUCAAUUUAAACAACAAAUAGGUAUGACUGUUAACGAAAUAUUAUAUCUCAAGCUUUCCAGAUUGGUAUCAUGAGUAAAUGUUCGACAUACGAUCAAUUUAUAGCGAAUGUUUGAACAUGGGAAGAAAGUUUCACGACUAAGAACGAAAGGGUAACAACUAAUGUGAUUUUAAGCAUAGAUGCACUGCUAAUUUCGAAAUACGUCCUGAGACAAAGGUUGUAGGUAUCGAAGAGAGCUUUUCAGAAUGUCCAGAAUCAACAAAAUCCGAUUAAUUUUCAAUUUACUACGAUUUUUACAAUCCAACUGAUUCACAGAAAAUACUAUAUACGAAUUUCAGCAUAAACAAUUAAGCAAACAAGAUAUAUUUACAUCAAAUACACAUGACAAGGAGCGAUAAAUCAAUAACUCAAGUCAACAUAUACGUGUUAGAAUCAAAGAGGAAAAGAGAGCAUACCCGUCCACGUAAAUUGUUGUAUGACUUAUUUGGAUUCUAAAGAGAUUAUUAUAUAGCACAUAAAACCUAAUCGUAAAUAGGAAGUUCCAAACUUGGGUCACAAUUUUCUCCACCUCAUAAACCAAUUUACAAAUAUAAGGUCUUCUCAAGAAGAUUUCGAUUUUCGAUAAUAUUUCUACGCUUCUUUCCAUGAAUAAAGAAUUCUCUCUAUUUUAUUAUUCAAAUAACUAACACAAAAUAAAUUGUAGAAGCUUCCAAUUAAUGCUAAUAUCUAAUUAUAUAAAUACAAACAAUUUAAAUCUAAUAUCUAACUCAUAAUAACAAUACUAAUUAAAUAAAAAUAUUUAAAUAAAUAAAUAAAAUCACAGGAUUUUACAUUCUACCUUCCUUAGAAAGAAUUUGGUCCCCAAAUUCUCCCAAAUCUAUUCUCCAAAACCCAUCUAAAAGUCAAGACACACAAUUAAAAACUCACUAACCACUGACAAGUCAAACUUGAACCUCGGUACUCGGAUCGCACCCUGGGGAAUGAGCUAGUCAUAUACCUAACACACUCCGAAGGACAACCUCGCUCUGAUACCAACUGUAACACCCCGACUUUUCGGAAUAUUAAAAACUAAUUUCACGACAUAAAUAAUAUCAUUACUUAAAUCAAAAUCCACAAAUAAUAUAUAAGUCAAAGCAGCGGUCAAACCCAAUAAUCAGAAGUCAUGAACUUAGAGACGCAGCUCCAUAAAUCCAAAACCAAUAUCUAAUAAACUCAUCAAAUUAUUCUAAAUAAACAAUAAGUCUUUAUUCACUAAUGCAAAUAAUCACGAAGCAUAGAAUCAAAAAGUCCUCAUUCUUAUUCCCAAAAUUCUUCCACGUGAUAGAACCUGAAAUAUUAGAAAAACGGAUGAGCUACACAGCUCAGCAAGUAACAAUUUGACUCACAGUUAAUUUCGAAAUCAGUGGGCGUUUUUAUGAAACAUUGUUGCUCAAAACAAUUAUAACUUUAAAACACUUGUAAAAACAAAUCCAACCCACAGUUUAUAUUUUAAAAGCAAACAUAACAAAAAACAGAAACAAAAAUCUUAUAAAUACCACAGUCUUGCUCUACGGCCACACUUUCCCAGUGACCACGAUCUUAUUCUUAUUAUUUUGCCACACUUACCCAGUGACCGAGAUCUAAAGUUCAAUAAUCACGCGCACUUAAUAGGUAUCUGAAGUUGCACACUUGUGCGCCUACUAAGGGUAUCUAAGGCUAGUUCCGGAACUAUAGCGUAGACUACGAACGGGUUCGAAACGUAGAGACUGGGUCUUCAAAGAUUCUCAUGUCUUAUAUCUUAUAAACUUCGAAACAAAAUUCUUAUGUCUUAUAACAAAAAUCUGAAAUUUGCGAAAUCAAAAUAUCCUUUCGAAAAAGUAAGUCAAAAGGUACUUACCUCAAAGUAGACACUUAAAAUCCGAAAUUAAUAACACGAACAAAGCCUAUACAUUUAAUUAAUAAACAAAACAUAAUUAACAUGUAGCUUAAACAAUCAAGAGCAAGGCACAUAACAAGUCUUAACAAAUUUUAAACUUUAACAACUAAUAACAAUUAACACAAUUUAAUUACCGAAUAAGACAAAUAACAAUGCAUGCUGUUACAAAUCUCAAUAUUAAUCAAAGAUAGCUUCUGAAUAUUAGAAAAUAGUCAACUGGAGAAUCAAAGUACAUUCAACAAGGAUUCCAAAAUGACAAGAUUCAUGGUAAACGGACAGAUAACGAAUUAGUUAUGAAUUUUAGAAGUUCAAGUAACACAACAGAAUUUUACUCAGGACCAGUUUACAUUCAAAGCAGAUUUUCACGAAGCAAACAAACUGAUAUCAAUUAGACUAUAACUAUACACUUAAAGAUCAUUCUCAGAGGUUUCAUAAUUGAUAAAGAUCACAAUUUUACGGCAAAUAACGAGGGAGAUAUGAAUUUUUAAACACGGAACAACUCAGCAGAAAAGUAUAAACAGCCCUGAAUCUUUGUAAAUCAGUUUAGACAAUUAAAUCAAUUUAAACAACAAAUAGGUAUGACUGUUAACGAAAGAUUAUAUCUCAAGCUUUCCAGAUUGGUAUCAUGAGUAAAUGUUCGACAUACGAUCAAUUUAUAGCGAAUUUUUGAACAUGGGAAAAAAGUUUCACGACUAAGAAUUAAAGGGUAACAACUAAUGUGAUUUUAAGCAUAGAUGCACUGCUAAUUUCGAAAUACGUCCUGAGACAAAGGUUGUAGGUAUCGAAGAGAGCUUUUCAGAAUGUCCAAAAUCAACAAAAUCCGAUUAAUUUUCAACUUACUACGAUUUUUACAACCCAACUGAUUC